Molecule: ribosomal RNA, 372 nt
Filed under: uncultured organism
Description: partial 16S ribosomal RNA
Rfam family: Bacterial small subunit ribosomal RNA
Source: RNAcentral
GGAGGGUGCGAGCGUUGUCCGGAAUCACUGGGCGUAAAGGGCGCGUAGGCGGCUUGAUAAGUAGGGGUGAAAUCCCACGGCUCAACCGUGGGCCUGCCUCCUAAACUGUCGGGCUUGAGCACGGUAGAGGCAGAUGGAAUUCCCGGCGUAGCGGUGGAAUGCGUAGAUAUCGGGAAGAACACCAGUGGCGAAGGCGGUCUGCUGGGCCGUUGCUGACGCUGAGGCGCGACAGCGUGGGGAGCAAACAGGAUUAGAUACCCUGGUAGUCCACGCCGUAAACGAUGGGCACUAGGCGUCGGGGGGGAGCGACCCCUCCCGGUGCCGUCGCUAACGCAGUAAGUGCCCCGCCUGGGGAGUACGGCCGCAAGGCUG